RNAcentral lists this ribosomal RNA (159 nucleotides) under Triticum aestivum (bread wheat). RNAcentral describes it as "partial small subunit ribosomal RNA". Lineage: Eukaryota; Viridiplantae; Streptophyta; Magnoliopsida; Poales; Poaceae. The record is from RNAcentral.
CAUGUAUCAGAUAUUAAACUGAUAAGAACAGAUACUACACUUGAUCUUAGCCAAGAGGCCGAGAAAGGUAUGCUUCGAUAGGCGUCCCCGGUUCUGGUUUUAUUGCUCUCUAAACCGCCUAAUCACAGCUUCAAAAGCGGUAUGGGAUUAUUCCAAUGA